Long non-coding RNA from Anopheles arabiensis, 825 nucleotides. RefSeq lists it as uncharacterized. Lineage: Eukaryota; Metazoa; Arthropoda; Insecta; Diptera; Culicidae. The record is from RefSeq and is a predicted model, not a curated record. The transcript is spliced from 2 exons.
AAGGCAUGUGUAGAACAUACUGCGACAUCGCGUGGCUGCUACUGUACCGGAACCUAGGAAUGAAAAGUGCUCGCGCUGGAAAACAAAAGUUUGCCAAUUUUCCUACCACCGGCGUAAAAAAGUGGAUAUACGAAUCGAAGGUUCGCCAUCAACACCGCCAUCGACGAUGACAGAGGACCAUGUAAUGACAAUUCACAUUACCGGCAGAUAAAGAGGCUAGUUCUGCUACAGAGACUCCUUAUGCAGAAAAGAAAACAUCAAUAGUCAUUCGCCAAUUGCUAAACAAUACUUCUGGCUUUGAGGUAGCAAUGUUUUGUUACCAACUUUCCCGAACAUUGGUACUACAGUCGGCUUUGCCGUUCCAGAUAAGCACAGCGCUACGUUCUUUUGUAGUCCUGUUUUUUCGUGUAAAGACGGAAUUUGAUGUUUCCCAAUUCACGUACACUUUAUAGCGUCACUUCAUCGAACUAUGGCCCUAGUCGAACCGGGUUAAGAAUUCGCCCUUCACUCGUACGGCGCACGAAGAUGCUGGGAAAUUUUAACUUCGUCAAUUGCUUGUUUUUCCGCAGUGUGUGGUAAAUGUUUUACUCCUCCUAUCGCCGCAAUAGCUUGUGCAUUCAGGCAAAUUUUUGGAGCGAACCAAGGUGUGGACAAAAGAACAAGUUGUCAAAAAGUGAUUUUCGGUGCCGCCAUCAUGCAUGCUGCUGCACCGUACGUCACGCCUCUUUUCUAAAUUAUUUUAAAUGUAUUGUUGUCUGGGCAUUCAAAGGAGAACCGCAAACAGCUCAUCAAUUAAAACAACGGUCUUUUUUUCUAGCGAUGAAA